Molecule: ribosomal RNA, 507 nt
Filed under: uncultured bacterium
Lineage: Bacteria
Description: bacterial SSU rRNA
Rfam family: Bacterial small subunit ribosomal RNA
Source: RNAcentral
AGGACGAACGCUGGCGGCGUGCCUAACACAUGCAAGUCGAGCGGGGACAUGCGACGGAUAGGAAGAUUCGGUUGGAAUGAAGAUGCAUUGUUCUAGCGGCGGACGGGUGAGUAACGCGUGAGCAACCUGUCCCUUACAGGGGGAUAACACAGCGAAAGUUGUACUAAUACCGCAUAAGACCACGGGAGGACAUCCUUCAGGGGUCAAAGGAGGAAUCCGGUAAGGGGUGGGCUCGCGUCCGAUUUAGAUAGUUGGUGAAGUAACGGCCCACCAAGUCGACGAUCGGUAGCCGACCUGAGAGGGUGAUCGGCCACAUUGGGACUGAGACACGGCCCAAACUCCUACGGGAGGCAGCAGUGGGGAAUAUUGGGCAAAAUGGGGGGAACCCUGACCCAGCAACGCCGCGUGAGGGAAGAAGGUUUUCGGAUCGUAAACCUCUGUCCUUGGUGAAGAGGAAGAGACGGUAGCCAAGGAGGAAGCCCCGGCUAACUACGUGCCAGCCGCGGC